Molecule: ribosomal RNA, 623 nt
Filed under: uncultured Bacillus sp.
Lineage: Bacteria; Bacillati; Bacillota; Bacilli; Caryophanales; Bacillaceae
Description: bacterial SSU rRNA
Rfam family: Bacterial small subunit ribosomal RNA
Source: RNAcentral
GACGUGGGGUGUGGCUACAAGGCGACGACGGGUAGCCGGCCUGAGAGGGUGACCGGCCACACUGGGACUGAGACACGGCCCAGACUCCUGCGGGAGGCAGCAGUGGGGAAUAUUGCGCAAUGGGCGGAAGCCUGACGCAGCGACGCCGCGUGGGGGAUGACGGCCUUCGGGUUGUAAACCUCUUUCAGCAGGGACGAAGCGAGAGUGACGGUACCUGCAGAAGAAGCACCGGCCAACUACGUGCCAGCAGCCGCGGUAAUACGUAGGGUGCAAGCGUUGUCCGGAAUUAUUGGGCGUAAAGAGCUCGUAGGCGGUUCGUCGCGUCGGCUGUGAAAACCUGAGGCUCAACCUCAGGCCUGCAGUCGAUACGGGCGGACUUGAGUUCGGCAGGGGAGACUGGAAUUCCUGGUGUAGCGGUGAAAUGCGCAGAUAUCAGGAGGAACACCGGUGGCGAAGGCGGGUCUCUGGGCCGAAACUGACGCUGAGGAGCGAAAGCGUGGGGAGCGAACAGGAUUAGAUACCCUGGUAGUCCACGCCGUAAACGUUGGGCGCUAGGUGUGGGGCUCAUUCCACGAGUUCCGUGCCGCAGCUAACGCAUUAAGCGCCCCGCCUGGGGAGUACGG